RNAcentral lists this non-coding RNA (96 nucleotides) under Thalassionema nitzschioides. The record is from RNAcentral. Lineage: Eukaryota; Bacillariophyta; Fragilariophyceae; Thalassionematales; Thalassionemataceae.
UAGUGUAUACGAAUCUUCUAUUGGGGAUAAUGAAGAUCAAUUGCUUUCCGAUGUAGAUGAAUGUGUCCUCUAGGCAAUCGAAUUACUGAAAAGCCG